RNAcentral lists this long non-coding RNA (4257 nucleotides) under Salvia miltiorrhiza (redroot sage). RNAcentral's name for it is "long non-coding RNA (SMIL_LNC006320)". Lineage: Eukaryota; Viridiplantae; Streptophyta; Magnoliopsida; Lamiales; Lamiaceae. The record is from RNAcentral.
CACCAUGUUCUCAAUUUUAUCAUCCCACUACACUUUAUUCUAUUCUCUCUCUCCCAUUGAAAUUCACACUUUCUACAUGCUGGAGCAACCUAAUUGCAAAAAAGAGAGAUCUUAGAACUUUGAGCGAGUCGUCCUCUGACGGAGAUUCGGCCGUCAUUUGUUAAUCAAACUCUGAUGAAGACGCAACAAUUGCCUUUGCCGUGGCGCCGCCUCGGACAAACGUUGCCCAAAACUCGGGCUGGCCUAUGGCCUCACGCCGCCUCCAAACGCAAGAGCGAACCCAACAAGUUUCCUUCUCCCUAUAUUCCUAUAUUUUUUUUUCUAUUUCUUAUUAAGCAGACUUGAAUUUUUACUUCUAUUUUCUUUUCUAUUUUAUUGAUUACCAGGCUCGAGCAAUUCUAUGAUCUUUUUCCGAAAAGGUCUUGAGCCAUUACACAUAAUCAUCGAUCAUAUAAUUGGAAAGGAGGUAAUAUGCAUCUGGAUGUUUAUCUAUUCUUUUACACUUCUUGUGAUAUUUUUAUUUUGAUGAAUAAUGCUAGAAAGACUGCACAAUUUGUGUGUAAUUUGAUAAUAUUUAGCAAAUUCUUAAAUAUCUGAUUAUAGUACUAAUUAAAUUUGGAUUUUUUUUGAAGGAACUCGGGGAGAUUUGUAAAAGUAUUUUUUGAAAACUGAGAUCCGAGUCAUACGUAUGUUUUUCCUGCGCUGUUUCUUUAUUCUGUCAGCCAAAACAAAUUGCUUUUAGUCGGGAGAUUGAUGUUAUAUCUCAUUUUUCUCUGCCUCGAUUGAAUUUUCUCGAUGUUUUUCAUGCGCUAUGUGUAUUCAUUCAGCAAAAAAAGCCCUUUUGUCGGUAGAUUGAUGAUAUAUCUCAUUUUUCUAUAGCUUGAUUGAAUUUUCUCGAAAUAUAUAUGUAUGAUUUUCACGCGCUAUUUAUUUAAUUUAGUCAAGAAAAAUGGCUUUAAUUGGUGGAGUGAUGUUAUAUUUCAUUUUUCUCUUGCUCGAUUGAAUUUGAUAUCAUCAUAAUUGGUGGAUUGAAUUUCUGAUCAGAAUCUCCUUUCCUUUACGUUCUCUCGGAUUGCCAGUUGGUUUUUUGAUAUUAUCAUUUGAAUGUUGGAAUAGGUUUUAUACCUUUAUCUGUUAGAGGCCUUUAGGAGAAUUGUAGUUGGGGUUCUGAUGGAUAGUUGGUUUGUUGAAUUUAGGAGGCAUAUUGCUGAAGAAUAUCUUUGCGUUAUUGUGGUGAAGUUGUAUCAAUUUAAUUUCCAUCUUCUCCAAUUUGAAGCCGUAUCAGUUUUUCUAUCCCUUUCAAAGGAAUUUUAAUGAACAUGAUUAUAAUAUAUUUUUAAGGUGUAAUAGUGAUGUUGGUCCAUUGUCUCCAUUUAUAAUUGUUAGCGUUUUCGCUUGAAUUUUUGGUGUGUGUGUCUUUUCUUCAGCAGUUUCACAUGAUUUUGACACAAGGAGAAGUCGAUUGCGUAUGGUGCUUGAUCAUAUAAUAAGGUUUGAUCAAAUAUUGGUUUCAAAAGUGAAUUAUACUUCAUAUUUCGAAUGUUGUACAUUUUUUAAUAUUUUCUUGGAUUUGUCUUGGCAUUUCUCACUGCAUCUGCAUACAUGUUUGGUGUUUAGAUUUCCUUAAAUGUUAAUUUAUAAGCACCUAUGUGUCAAGUUUAUUGUCUCGCUGAAUUAGCUAAUUGUGAAAGAAAAUUUGCUAGAAUCAGUCUUUGACUUUUUUAACCACCGUUUUCUACAUUGUUUGUACAAGCAUCUUUGUUUUGAGCUUAGAAGUUAUAAAAUUGUGUGUGUAAAUAUUCUUGAAUUUUACGUUUACAAUAUCCCUCUACUCCUAAACGAUAAAGCCAACCAAACCAUCAUAGUCUGUGUGAUCAUAAGAUAACAGACAACAUAUAUGUAUGUGAGUUUUCAGAUUAAGAUGUUGCUUUUUUAUUUGUUCUUUUAGAUAUGAUUUUGUCUAAAAGUGAAAAGCAUGGGCUUUGAACAAUUUGGGAGACUUCUCUCGACAUGCCUCCGCUGAUUUGGAUGCUCAUAUAGACAAUGAUACAAGGUGAUUUCAAAAGGGGCCUUCUCAUUUUCCCCCAUUUUAUGCGUUUGAUUGUGUUUUUUGAUUUUUUUUUUGUUGUGUGUGAAUGUGUUUUGUUCGUUUCAUUCUAAGUUUUCUUUUAGAGAAUUAGCAAUUGAAAAGAGUAAUAUUUUCAAUUGAUAAAGUCGAUUCAUUAUUUUUGCAGAAUCUGAACGAUGUAGUGUGGACUCACGAAUCAAGUGACAAAUAAUUCAUUCGGAAGAUUGUAAAAAUGGUGCAGGAAAUGUAAUAUUUAUGAGACGUUUGGGAGGUGAACUGCUGAGGGUUUUAGGCCACGAAUAAAGACAGAUGGGUAAGAGAAAAUUGGAAGAAGGAUUAACAUUGUUAGACAUAAGUCAACCACUUCCUAAUGAAAAAUGCUUCAGUGAUUGCGUCGAUACAUUUUACUCAUUCAGUGAAACCACCUAUCUUUUUCUUGGAAAAUGUAGAUGAUGGAGCAACAGUGCGGAGGAAAAUUUUAUUAUGACGUUAUUGGUGACCAGUAUCUCACUAUCACUGUGUUUUUGGGCACGAAACACUUGGAAAUGAAAAGUAAAUUGUCUAUCUAUGCCCAUACGUUCAUUUGUGCACAAAACCGAUAGCCAGAAUACAUAUUAAAAUAUUGUUGUUCACGAAUAUAAUCAUUCUCACUAUAACAUAACCCCUAAUAUAUAUAUAAACACUUCUUAACAUAUAAACCAGCUAAAAUGUAUGAAUUCAAUAUAGAACACAUACAAAUUAUUUAUGUAAAUGUCUGUAUUGCGAAAAAUAAAAUUUUCACUCUAUUUGGAAUUCAAACUCAGGACUAUGAAUUCAUUUUUUAAUGAUCGGGUCACGGUUGACUUGAACCUUUGAUCUUAAACAUGAACCACUCUACCCUCCAGUAUUUGUAUUUAUGUACUUAAAACAUGUCAUUUAAUUAUAAAUUAUAAUGAUCCGUGCAUCGCACGGGUGGGUAUACUAGUUUAUAAAUAAAUACUGCUGUCAUUAUUUGUUAAUAUAUACUCCUAAUAAUGUUUUUGGGGGAAAAAAAUACUAGUAAUGAUAUAUAUUUAUCGAUUACCUUAUUGGCCGUGCAGCCGCAACAACUACCAGUUGGCAGGGGCUUGGUGGUAAAUUUUUAAUUUAGCUUUUUCUAUGAUAACAAAAGUUUGCUCUAAAUUAUAAUUUUUUUCACAUUAAAUUCAUAAUAUUUCAUAACAAAUUCAAAAACUCUAUACUCAUGAUGUACAUACAUAUUAAAUUGUCUUACUUUAAAUAAUAUUCAAGUAUGAAUUAAUAUUUAUUUAUUUAUAAUUCCAUCGAAUCACGGUAAAAAUUAUUAUAAUCAAAUCAAUUACUAUAACAUUUGGUUAUUGAAUUAAUGGGCUAUAAACUCAUGCAUUAUAGUCAUGUCAUGAUUUCUUUUCACGCAAUAUGUAAUUAGUGGCAAAAUAUACACAUUUUGAUACUUUUUUAAAAAAUAAUCGAAUUUAAAUUCCAAUCAAAUGGAAUUCAACAUGGCAUGAACAACCAUAAUUGGUUGCUUAUCUGGACUGGUUGAUUCGCUGAAAAUUCAUAAUGUUGUUAAAUUUUGAUUUUUCCUAUCAACUAUGAAAAUUAGUGUCAAAAUAUACACACUGAGAUUUUGUUUUUUUUUUUUAAAUAUACACACAUUGAGAAAGUAAAGGAGUACGUAAUUUCUUAAGAAAUUUUAACAUGGCAUUGUUCCCCUAAUAAACUCUUGUUUAUGUCACGUAUGAUUUCAAAUUAGGUCCAAUUGUGGUUGUUCGUGUCAGUGUUGGGCCAAAUUCGAUGCCAAAAUUUAAAUUUGAGGUUCAGAGAGUAUUAAAGUAUGCGUAUUUUGUCACCAAUUUCAUAGUGCAUGGACAAAAUCAAAAUUUUACUAGUACAAUAUAUGGAUUUACAACCAAUUAAAUCUCCCAAAUAAGCAGUUGAUUACGGUCUUUCAUGAUGCAUAUUAAAAAUUUAGUAUCAAGUUAAAUUGAAAUUGGGCCGAUCUUAAGUUUAAAAUUGGGUUAAAUGCAUAUAAAUUCACAANUUUUUUUCUUUAUUUUCGUUUUAAAUAUUUAUAAAUAAAGUCAGAAAUAAAGAGAAAAAAAAAAUUAAGAUAAGUUUCAUUAAUACGACACCGUAAACAGUAUUUGUAACCAGUUUGAUACUCGUUGGCUACAAAGUAAAAACUGAGA